AGUGAACGCUGGCGGUAGGCCUAACACAUGCAAGUCGAACGGCAGCACAGUAAGAGCUUGCUCUUACGGGUGGCGAGUGGCGGACGGGUGAGGAAUACAUCGGAAUCUACUUUUUCGUGGGGGAUAACGUAGGGAAACUUACGCUAAUACCGCAUACGACCUACGGGUGAAAGCAGGGGAUCUUCGGACCUUGCGCGAUUGAAUGAGCCGAUGUCGGAUUAGCUAGUUGGCGGGGUAAAGGCCCACCAAGGCGACGAUCCGUAGCUGGUCUGAGAGGAUGAUCGGCCACACUGGAACUGGGACCGGGUCCAGACUCCUACGGGAGGCGCCAGUGGGGAAUUUUGGACAAUGGGCGCAAGCCUGAUCCAGCCAGACCGCGUGGGUGAAAAAGGCCUUCGGGUUGUAAAGCCCUUUUGUUGGGAAGGAAAAGCAGCAGGUUAAUACCCCGCUGUUCCGACGGUACCCAAAGAAUAAGCACCGGCUAACUACGUG
This 492-nucleotide ribosomal RNA is filed under the name uncultured bacterium. RNAcentral describes it as "partial 16S ribosomal RNA". It matches the Rfam family "Bacterial small subunit ribosomal RNA", at positions 29 to 507 of the family's 1533-position model. The record is from RNAcentral.